Molecule: long non-coding RNA, 10145 nt
Filed under: Citrus maxima (pomelo)
Lineage: Eukaryota; Viridiplantae; Streptophyta; Magnoliopsida; Sapindales; Rutaceae
Description: long non-coding RNA (CMAX_LNC001995)
Source: RNAcentral
GGAUUCCAGAGGAUGGAAUAGGUGUGAAAAGCAGCAGAGGGGUCAAACCAGAGGUGAAAUUGUUGUUCUCUGUCACCUUUACCAUUUGUGAAUACAUUUGUGUGAAGAGUAUAAGGGUCACCACUUAAAUUUCCCAAGAAUUCAAAGUCUAUCUCAUCCCAUGUGGAUCCCGGUGAUUUUAACUGCAUGGAAAAGAAAAGCCUAAGUAUCAGCAUGCAUGAUGAUCAUAGCUAGCUAUAUAUUUUGCAUAAAUAGCUGCGUUUUCAUUGAUUUCUAAAAAAGGGAGGAACUUACAUAAUAAGCAGUGACAGUACCAGCAGAGUUGCCAGGGACAAGCUUAAGCUGCAUGUCAAUCUUGCCAUAUAGAUACUCAUUCAUGGACUGGAAUCCUGAGCCAGAGGCUUUAUCAAGGGACAGAGUAAGAAGCUGGCCGUUGUUGAGUAUCUUCGCACGCCCAUCUCCCCAAGUGAUGUCAAAAUCUUUGUAGAAGCUACCAGCAGAGGCAACCAUCAAAGUUCCAAGCACUAGAAACAAAUGCAACAUUGAAGCCAUUGAUAUAUGCUUUGAAAUGAGCAAUAACAAGAUAGAAGUACUAUUCGUAAAUUGAAAUUGGAAACUGAAGUGAUGAAUGUGUUUAUGUCCUCACCAGGGUUUGGUUUUUAUAAGUUUGAUUCAGCUAAGCAGAGGAAAGUGACGGGAAGGCCCACUGAGGUGGGCUGCGGCCAGUUGUUUGGAUGAGAAAAGUGCAAUAAAAUAGCUGUGCAUGUAGCGUUAACAAACAUGAUCAAAACCAGGACAUUUUUUUAUUAUUAUUACGCGGUUUUGCAUUAUUUUUUCAGAGACCGAUGUAAUUGUCUCGUUGCUCCCCUAGUGCACAUCACCAGCUAAGUCUUAGAUUUUCCAACAACCACCAUUAAGAACAGUAUAAGGCAAACACGCAAAAUUACGAUUUUAAAAGUUAAAAAGGGGGGUAAAAGCAAAGCCAAAAAAAAAGUUGAAUUGACUUUCCGAGGCCUUCAUUAUUUUAUUUUUGUUCAUUUAUUGUAGUUAUAUUACAAAAAAAAAUAGUACUAUAAUUAAAAAUCCAUCAGAAUUAUGUCCGAGUCAGCUCGCAAUUUUUCCCCUUUUCCAAACAGAGAAAUUUUUUAACUCCCAUCUUAUAUCUUCUAGACUGUGACCAAAUUUUCGUUGGGCUGAUGAAAAUAGCGAUAUUAUCUUGUACAAGCUUUGCUUCCUGUCGUUUUCCUUUACAACAAAUCGGAAUAUUAUAUCUUACUUUUUAGUUUUUCAACAACUUUACGUGCAAAUAUGGAAGAUGUAAUAACAAGUUGCAAGUUGCUCCUUGUCGGCAUUCAAUGAGCUAGGCAAGCUGUAAAAUUGGCCCAUGAAUUAAUAAUCAGAUUAAUUAUGGAGAAGAGUGAAUUCAGAGUUCAACUUUUACUUGGCUAUUAACACUUGAACCAAGUUUUUCCAGCUCACCUCCUAACAGCGAAGUUCACAAGUUUUAUAAGAAAGCUUUUUCUUGGGCAACCCAAUGAAAAGCAGACAAAAUCAUGAGAUCCCUCUAAUUAAUUAAAUUUAUUGCCACUUAAACAAUCUCUAAUGUUUGUUUUUUCAACCAUUUUGAUAGUGACCAUAUGGCACAUGCUAGUAAAAUUCUUGAAUAAAACAUUAUUAUACAACUUAAUUUGACAAUCUUAUUUAAUUCAAUGGUCGUUAUUAGUUAGUAUCAGAGAAAAACUGUGAAACAAGUGAGAUUUGCAAGGUUGAGAGGCUAAAAACUAAUUAUUCAAGCAAGCCUGAUAAAUAUGUGUAAUGAUAUUAAUUGAGUCUCAUAUCGCUAAAUUAAAACUUGGCACAUAAGCUUAUAAACACUUGAUAUCCCUCUUUUUACAAGCUGGAAGGCCAUCUUUACAGAUGGAGUAAAUUGUACAAGGCUACUACCCACCUCAUGUGCGUUUCAAAAAGUCACGUAGCUCAACCUAAGGGCUUGGACGUCGGUCUUGAAAGAAGGGUGGAUUGAAAGUUUGUAACGUUUCUAAUGGGUAAAUUUUGGCAUAACCCUUUCGUGAAGUGAUAAUUUUCAAAUUGUCAUUCCUGUUAUUGAAAACAUCAAAUUAUCUCUCAAAAAUCAUUAUUUGUCUGUUACUUUUAACGGCUAAAAGGGUAAAAAAAUAUUUGUACAUUCCUCUAACAAUCAAUAAACAAAAAAAAAAGUCAAACAUUUAUGCGGGUUAUUUUUUAUAGGCUAAAUCUUUUUAAGUUUUUCAAAACACAUACAAAUAUUUUAAAUAUUUAUGAUAUGCAUCCCUAAUAUUUUAAAAAUAUUUUUCAUUUUGCACCUAUAUGUCUAAUUUUGUUCGAACUGAUUAAAUUUUAAUUUUUUGUAUUUUAAAACUUUAUUUAUUUUAAAAAAUAAAUAAAGAAAUUAAUUAAAGUUAUCAAUGAAAAAAGAAUAAUAUUUUACAUAUUUUAUAUUUAUUAUUAUAAUCAUUAUUAUUCUUUUUUUCUUUUGCAAAGGUAUUUAAAAAAAUAUAUACAUAUAAUAAAAAUCAAAGAACAAAAGAAAAAUGCUACCACAGACUUAAUCUAAAGCUUCAAAACUCUUCUCACCAAAAACCACUAUCAUCGCACACAACCCAAAAUUCUUCAAACCCUUUGCUUAUUCACCAAACUGAAAAUAAUAAACAACAAUAAAGUAAAUUCAAUCUAUUAUUAAUAAUAUGGUUAAUUCAAUAUUAAAGAUUAUUCAUAAUCUAAAAUUAAGGAAUCCCAAAUAUCAAAUUACAACAAUUCCUAAUUUUCUAGUAACAGUAGCUCAAUUGAACGAACAAAAUAAAAAUUUGAAACAACAAUCCCAAACCUUAGAAACAAUCAUGGGUAGUCGCGAUGUUAAAAAGUUGUUGUAAGAUGAUGUCCACGACGACCUACAACUCCACGGCUGUCAUAGCCACGCCGUGGUCAUUCUCGAUUGGAAAAGAGCAAAAGAAGUAUGGGUCUUGACUGCUGAAUGGUUGUGAUAAGAGGAAAAUCAAUGACUCUCUUGACUGCCAAAGAAGAAGAAUUAAGACGAAGCUCUCGGCGAUGCCAUGGCAGUGCUUUCGCCUGAGAUUGUUGAGUUGAUUGAUUGUUCAUACAAUGAAUGACACGAUUAAAUCGACGGUGAGUUGUAUGGUUCUGCAGUGACAUUAAGGACGCAAAUAAUUCAGGUUUUGGUCGCCGAAUUUUGAGGAUUUUGAUGGUCUCUGUCAACACCCCUUUGCAAGUUAUAGAUUAUGACUUCUGGGUUUUGGAUUUUAGUUUGUAGAAAUUAAGUUUUAGUUUUGAUUCAUUGUAGGAUUGGAUUUGAAUAUUGAUUGUACUUUUGUCAUGCACUUGUAAAGGGAAAAAAAUGAAGAAAAAGAUGAAAAAGGAGUAAGGCAAAGAAAAAAAAAUGAAAGAAAAACUCAAAGGAUUAAGCAAGAGGAAAAAAAUGAAGAAAAAGACGAAGAAGAAGUAAGGAAGAUGAAAAAGAAAUGAAGAAGAGAAAUUCAAUGUUUCAUUUAUUUUUUUCAUUUUAAUAUUGAUUUUUAUUAUACCUAUGGACUAUAAAAUGUCUACAUAAGAAAACAAAUGGGUGAUGGAAUAUUUUAGAAAUUGUAAAGGGACAAAGGAAAUAUAUUUUUAAAUAGUAGGUGUGUAACAAUUUAAGUUAAUGAUUUUCGUUAUUAGCGGGCUAUAUUGUACUUUCACGAGUUAACGGCAGUCAAUAGUUAAAGAUAACGAGUUUUGAGGGGUAGCUUAAUAUUUUCAAAAGUAAGGAGAGCAAUUCACUUCAUGAAGGGGAUAGACCGAAAUUAACUCCAAUUCUAAUUGAGUCUCACAUCACUAAAAUUUGUUAUUCUAUUUAUGAGUCAAAUCUUCAUGUACGUAUUCUAGUCCACCUGCUAAGUUAAAAAGUUUGAAGGAUGGAUUCUAUCAAUUUUUGCAUAACAAUUUAUUAUUCUAAUCACUAUUGAUGUCAACGAUAUUCUUGGAUAUAUAUAAGCCAGUUCUACCUAAUGUGUGCAUCACAAUUUAUUAAUUUGUUUAGUAGUGAAAUCCGUGACCAUCGUGGUAUAGUCAAUUUAAUUUGACGAACCACAAAUAUUGCUCGUUAUUGUUUUGGAUUAUCCUCAUAUUGGCAUGUUAUUGUUGUGUGUACUAUUCUUUGUCAAUGAAGCAAAUUGCGUUUUUCUCAUCUCCCCCCCUCCCCCCCCCCCCCCCUGAUUAAAGUCCCAAGUAAGCAUGAGGGAGGUGUUAAUUUGAUCAUCAAUCUUGAUCGACAGGGAUUUCUUUUAAUGUCAAAAGUUCUUUACUUUUGUCAUAUAAAUUCAAGUUUACCAAGAGAUUUCUUUUGUCAACAGGCGAAAAAAAUCUAAAAAAUUAAGUUUACAAAGAAGGUAGUACGGAAAGAAAUAUUAUAUUACAAGACAUUUUAUAGUACAUGGUAAAAUGCGGCCAAUUUCGCCUUUGUGAUCGCCAAAUAAUCAAAGAAUCAAACGGCCCAAACUACAUACAUAUUGAAUAGCCGACUAACUACAACGAAUUAUCAAAUGAUAGACGCAUAUAUUUGUUGAUUUAGCAACUUCUCUAAGCGGUUCUGCAUUCUACAGGGAGACCCUGGGGAUAUCGCUUUGUGUCAGUGCAGUAAUUGUAAAUCAUGUAAUUCUGUUGCACCCACUUCAGCCUGUUUUGACUUGAUGAAUCAAGCUCCUGCGAAAACCAGGCUCUGCUUCUGGACCUAGAGGAAGCGCAAGAUGAUUUUCCAUUAGACCAGAGACAAGCAUCAGCUUUGAAGUUUCUGUAAGAAGCAGUGAAGGGAGCAUGUGUCCAAUCUGUCUUAACAAGGCCACCUCUCGUAGCCCAGUCAUCAGCAUUCCAAAGAGAAGAGUAUAUUCUCAUUGGCUGAUUCUUUGGGAAUGGCACUCCAAUUGAUUCUGAGUUUUUGAAUUCUCUUAUAGGUGUGCCAUCAACAGAGAAGCUGGAAAUUACAAGGCAAAAACUCGUAAGUCUAACUGAAUUGAUUAAUGAGAAGGCAAUUAGGCAAACAUAGUUAGGAUUUAAGGAAAAAGGAAAAUACUUACACAAUGCGCUGAGGAUUCCAGAGGAUGGAAUAGGUGUGGAAAGCAGCAGUGGGGUCAAACCAGAGGUGAAAUUGUUGCUCUCUGUUUCCUUUUCCAUUUGUGAAUACAUUCGUAUGAAGAGUAUAAGGAUCACCACUUAAAUUCCCCAAGAAUUCGAAGUCUAUCUCAUCCCAUUUUGAUCCUGGUGAUUUUAACUGCAUGGAAAAAGAAAGCCUACGUAUCAGAUGCAUGAUGAUCAUAAGUCGCUAUUUUGCAUUAAUAAUGCUGUACAGGGGAACUUACAUAAUAAGCAGUAACAGUGCCAGCAGAGUUGCCAGGGACUAGUUUGAGUUGCAUAUCAAUCUUGCCGAAUAGAUAUUCAUUCUUGGACUGGAAACCUGAGCCAGAGGCGUUAUCAAGGGAAAGCGUAAGAAACUGGCCGUUGUUGUGUAUCUUGGCACGCCCAUCUCCCCAAGUGAUGUCAAACUCUUGGUAGAAGCUACCAGCAGAGACAACCAUCAAAGUACCAAGCACUAGAAACAAAUGCAACAUUGAAGCCAUCGAUGCGUAGCAGUUGAGUUAACCGAAAGAACUUCGUAGUUUGAAAGGGAAGAGAUGAAUGCCAUUAGGACCACGGUUUGGCAUUUAUAGCAUGAUUAAGCUAAGCAGAGGAAAGUGAUGGGGAAGGCCCAGUCCAGUGAGCUGGGCUCUGGCCAGUUGUUUGAGAAAAGUGUAACAAUAAAAUAAAUAGCUGUACAGGCCACUAGCAAAUACAACUCAACCUGGCCAGUGCUUCAAAAAUAACCAGGAAGGUUUUAUUAUAACACUCGGUUUGCAUUAAAUUUUUUAAAUUUUAUUAUAUCAUGCAGUACUUGCGUCGAUGCUGCCCGGGUUCCCAUCGCCAGCUAAGAGUCUGACAUGCUAGUACCAAGAUGGUCCAAUGACUGGGGGAACCUUAGGUGCAACUGUGGCACCUUGGUACAGUUGCAUCUAACCGUUAUAUGUCAGUGAACCCCAUUAACCCAACUGCAUCUAACGGCUAGAUGCAACUGUGGCACGGUGCCACAGUUGCACCGUAGCCUGAUCCCUAAUGACUCCAAUAUUAUCCAACAGCCGCCAUUAAGAUAACAUCCAUUAUUCAUAACAAGUAUUUUGGAACAUAUAAGGCAAAGAAAUAAGGACUUUAGGUACAUAGUGCUAAAAGUUCAAUACCAAUUUCAUGAUCUAAUCUGAUUAUAUUUGUCCAAACUCCAAAUUCAAAGUUCAAUCCAUGAAAAAUUCUAGAAUUAUGUAGAGAAUGAUAAAUAUUUUUACUCUAAAAAUAUCUAAUAAUCGUAAAAUUAUCUAAUUCUAAAUAUUUCUCAAAUAUUUAGAGAUAUUUAUGAAAUAUGGUCGUCAUAUUUUGUAAUUUAAUAUUUUGUGUGGUUUGUAUUAAUUAUAAGUUACUAUAAAUACCCCUAAAUUUUUUGUUGUUGGCAUCAAGUGGAGAAUGAAGAAUUAAUAAAGAGAGAAAGAAGAGUUAGAGGUGAUUGUUGUUGUGUCUCUUAUAAAAUAUCAAUAAAGUUCUUCAGUUUAAUAAAAUUCUUCGGUUGCUCAAAUAAUUUCAAUUUUGAACAGUUUAGUCCUCCUCAGUUUUCAACACACAUAUGUUAGUUGCCUUUCCCUCCCCCCCCCCCCCCCCCCCAAAUUACUAAAUUGUAGUUGAUGAUUUUUUGUAAUAUUAUAUAUGAUCAACUAUUAUUUACGGUGUAAAAAAAUGAGGUAUUCAGUUAAACGUAAUUUGUAUUAGUCUUUUUAUUAUAUAACUCAAAUGUAUGUAAAUUAUUUUCGGUCGUAUAUAUAACUAGAUAUAAAUGAAAUAUACUCUCAUUCAAGGAAGAAAAAUAUCUAAUUUACUGAAAGUUUCUUAAAUUUCAUGUUAGAUUUUCUAAAUUUACGUUAGAUGUUUUCAAGAUCAUAUUUGUUGUCGUAGACCUACAAUAUUAACAAUGAAAGAGUAUGAUGUUGUGUCAAAAUACAAUUUAGAAGUAAAUUUUCAAUAAGGUUUUGUACAUCCGAUUUCUGACCAAAAACAAAUGCAUGAACUUGCAUGCGUUCAGUGCUUAUCCAAAUCAUGAUAGAAAAUUGCGAAACUAUGAUUGGAUUGGAGGCUUGUAGCUGCAGCCUUUGGUUUUACCUGCUUUAACCAUUUGCCAAAUAGAAACUUGUCAAACUUUCACAAAUUUUAGGUGAGCUGAGGAAAGCAGCAAAAUUAUUGCAUGCAUAUUUGCUCCCAGCUGGAAUCGUCCUGUGUAGCAGAUUGACAUUUUUAUCUUCAUUUUCAAGUCAUUUAAUUUGUCAUUUUGUUGUUGGUGGGUGUUGUGGGGAAGGCGCUAGUUUCUUUACGUGCAAAUGGAAGAUGUAAUAACAAGCUGCUGCUUGCUGGCAUUAUUAAUUCAUCAAUAAGGCAAGCUGUAAAAAUGACCCAUGGGCCAAGAAAUAGUAAUCUGAAUUUGAUGGAGAGCAAUGAUAUUUGAUUACUAAUAAGGCCGAGAAACACUUGAACCAAGGCUUGCCAACUCACCAUCCACUAACAAAGUUCGCAGGUUUUAUAUAGGACAGUUUUUGCUGAGAUAAUACCAUCAUAAAUGCAUAAUGAAGGCAUUUCAUGAGUUUGAUUUACCUUUGAUGCCACUUGAAGAAUCCCAGCUGUUAUUUUGCUUUUUCAAUCAUUUGAUGAAACCACAUGCUGUUAGAAUUCUUAAUAAAUAGAAAAUUAUAUAACUUGAUUUUAUCUAAUUUUAAUUUUUUUUAAAAAUAUUAUAUUCUCUCAUCUUACUGGUUGCAUAUAUAUUCCUCACUUACUUCGAGCACCCACUUAUAAUAUUUAUAAAAAAAUUUAUUAAUUUUACUCUUUAAAUAUCUAUUUGUUUAAUUAUAUGGUAAAAGAGAGAAUAAAAAAAUAAGUUAUUCUCCAACAAACUCUUUAAAUAGAAAUAAGUUAAAUAUUAUUUUAAUUAAAUAAAUAUUUUUUCAAAAAAAAAUUAAUGAUAAUUAAAAUAAUUUUCUCACUCACUCUAAUAAAAAAUAAUAAAAUAUAAAUUAAAAAGUAAGAAAGUAACUCUACAAAUUUAAAGAGAGUGAAUAAUUUUUUAUUUAAAAAAUUUUAAUUAAAUUUUUUUUUAAAGUCUUAAAUAUUAAUAUAAUUAUUUAAAUAAAUAAUAAAAUUUUUUUAAAUUUUUUUUAAAAAAAACUCCAACAAGCCCACUUUGUUUUAUUUAAAAAUCUAAGUUACUCGAAAACCCACUUUUGUUUUUUUUGGGGUGAAAAGGCAAAAGUUUGUGUUUUACUCACGAAUUAGCAGCUGUCAAUAGCUGUUAUGAUAUCAAAUAUUUAUGUGCACACGUCACCGUCGUCUCCAAGGCUUAUUAUUAUUACACAGUACACCCAUCAUUUGUGGGGCUAUUUAGAAUAGACCAGCUCCUUUGUAAUAUCUUCAUUUUUUUUUCAUAAAAAUAAAUAAAUAAACUAAAAAUAAUGACUAGUUGAACUCAAUUUCAAUAUAUGCAUUUAGGGUAAAGAAAAAGAAAAUGUUAAAAAGAUUUAUAAGGACAUUCAUAUAAUAAGAAAGAAUAAGCUAAAUUCAAGUAAACUUGAUGUCUGAAAGAGUAAAAUUAUUUGUUAUUUGUUAAAAACUCAAAAGAUACAUACGUACAAAUAAAUGCCUGUAAUGUCUUGGCUAAUAUUUACUAUUUAUUAAUUAGCAUGUAAGACAUACUUCGUGUUAAUAAUAAGUUCAACAACUUAAGCUUUGGAGAAAACAUGUUAAUUAAGGAUUUUUUAUUCAUUAACAUGUAUGCUUGAACCUAUCCAUUAUUAUGGUUAUUAUCACGUGAUUCAAAAAGUGCAAUUUCGAUUUCAAAUCAUGGCAUUUUUAACUAAUAGCCUUUACUUUAUCUUACUUUUAUAUAUAUGGUUUCAAACAUUGAAUCCAAGAGUUCAAUGUUUAAAACACUUAUCUUUGGAUCACGGGUUACCCAAGAAAAAAGAGAUAAUGCUAUUCAUUAACAAAAGUAACAAUAUUUUAUUACACGUAGCACUUAUAGUACAAAAAAGAAUGAACCAUACAUUUUAUUUGUCACUAAACAUUAGUACACAGAAUAAAAGAACCAAAACAUCAAAACUGAAGAUUAAAAAAGCUAUAAACAAAGACAUAUGGCAAAUGGAUCAGUUAUAUAUUGAAUGCACAUUCUUUUGGGAGCCCUUGGGGAAAUCGUUUUGAGUCCUUGCAAUAAUUAUAUAUCAUGUAAUUCUUCUGCACCCAUUUGAGUCUCUCUUGGCCAGUGGUAUCAAGUUCUUGCGAGAACCAUGGAUUAUUAUUUUUUGAGUUGCAAGAGGAUUUUCCAUUAGACCAGACGCAAGCAUUGGCAUUGAAGUUUCUGUAAGAAGCAGUGAAGGGAGCUUGGGUCCAGUCAGUUUUGAUAAGGCCACCUCUCGUGGCCCAGUCAUCGGCGUUCCAGAGACUCGAGUAAAUCCUCAUCGGCUGGUUUUUGGGAAAGAGUACGCCGUUUGAUUCCAAGUUCUUGAACUCUCUAAUUGGCGAGCCAUCAACAUAGAAGCUGAAAAACAUGCAUGCCAUUUUUUUUUACCAGGUCAAUCAUAAUAAAAAUAGAAAGCAUACUUGUCAAAGAAGAAAUGUCUUUGAAAGAAAAAAGUAACGAGAUAUUUGAAAGACUUACACAAUACGUUGGGGGUUCCAGAGAACGGAAUAGGUGUGAAAGUCAGCAGUGGGGUCAAACCAGAGGUGGAAUUGUUGUUCUCUGUCACCUUUGCCAUUUGUGAACACAUUAGUAUGAAGAGUAUAAGGAUCACCACUUAAAUUCCCCAAGAAUUCGAAGUCUAUCUCAUCCCAUGUUGAUCCUGGUGAUUUUAACUGAAUGAAGAAAGCAAAAAAAAGAAAAAAAAAAAUCUAUGUAUCAGCAUGCAUGCACGAUAUGAUAUUAACCAGCUAGCUAAUCUUUUGUAUAUAAGAAAAACUGCUUGUGUGUGUGUGCGUGUAUUAUCAAGUUUUCUGAAAAUUAC